Molecule: non-coding RNA, 30 nt
Filed under: Mus musculus (house mouse)
Lineage: Eukaryota; Metazoa; Chordata; Mammalia; Rodentia; Muridae
Source: RNAcentral
UCCAGACAAUCCAAACUGUUGGGUCGCCGC